AUCCCAGCUCCAAUAGCGUAUAUUAAAGUUGUUGCAGUUAAAAAGCUCGUAGUUGGAUUUCGGAACCGGCCGAUUGGUCCGUCCUCUGGAUCGUGUACUGAUCGGUCUGUUCUUCUUCGCGAAGACCGCGUGUGCCCUUAACUGGGUGGGCGCGGGAUUCGCGACGUUUACUUUGAAAAAAUUAGAGUGUUCAAAGCAGGCAGUCGCUUGAAUAUCUCAGCAUGGAAUAAUAGAAUAGGACUUUGGUCUUAUUUUGUUGGUUUCCGAGACCGAAGUAAUGAUUAAUAGGGACAGUUGGGGGCAUUCGUAUUUCAUUGUCAGAGGUGAAAUUCUUGGAUUUAUGAAAGACGAACUUCUGCGAAAGCAUUUGCCAAGGAUGUUUUCAUUA
RNAcentral lists this ribosomal RNA (388 nucleotides) under Ctenophora sp. (in: diatoms). Its description in RNAcentral is "Ctenophora sp. (in: Bacillariophyta) partial small subunit ribosomal RNA". It matches the Rfam family "Eukaryotic small subunit ribosomal RNA", at positions 582 to 975 of the family's 1831-position model. Lineage: Eukaryota; Bacillariophyta; Fragilariophyceae; Fragilariales; Fragilariaceae. The record is from RNAcentral.